This 30-nucleotide non-coding RNA is filed under the name Rattus norvegicus (Norway rat). Lineage: Eukaryota; Metazoa; Chordata; Mammalia; Rodentia; Muridae. The record is from RNAcentral.
UACCAGGCAUUGGAGUCAUGCACUUCACAC